AAACUUGAGAGUUUGAUCCUGGCUCAGAACGAACGCUGGCGGCAUGCCUAACACAUGCAAGUCGAACGAAGCCUUCGGGCUUAGUGGCGCACGGGUGCG
This 99-nucleotide ribosomal RNA is filed under the name Novosphingobium aureum. Its description in RNAcentral is "Bacterial small subunit ribosomal RNA". It matches the Rfam family "Bacterial small subunit ribosomal RNA", at positions 1 to 110 of the family's 1533-position model. The record is from Rfam by way of RNAcentral. Lineage: Bacteria; Pseudomonadati; Pseudomonadota; Alphaproteobacteria; Sphingomonadales; Sphingomonadaceae.